RNAcentral lists this long non-coding RNA (2931 nucleotides) under Lathyrus oleraceus (garden pea). Its description in RNAcentral is "Pisum sativum (pea) long non-coding RNA (PSAT_LNC037641)". Lineage: Eukaryota; Viridiplantae; Streptophyta; Magnoliopsida; Fabales; Fabaceae. The record is from RNAcentral.
UAUUUUAAAUUACUACUUUAUUAUUAUGACACGAAAUAGUAAAAAUUAUAUAAAAAAAUCAAAUCCAAUCUUCAUUAUUACAUUUUACGUAGGACAUGAAUACAUCCAUAUUUAUUAGCUUAGUAACAAAGAAAUAAAUCAUAUCAAAUCAGAUCAAUUCACAUAUAAACCUCCCUAAUCCAAAAAAUCCGAUUUAAUUCUCGAUCUAAUGUUUACUCUAUAAAUAGGAUCUAAAAUUACAAUGAAAAUCAUCCAUAAUUUACAAAUUUACUAUCCUAAAGUUGUUGCUCUUCACAUCGAAGAACAACAACAACUAAACCCUAAUCUAAGCUUCAACCAUCUCUGCAACGAAAAAAAGAAAAGAAGGGGAGUUAGAAGGAAUUCGAGGUAGAAAGAGGAAAGAAAGAGAAAAGAGUUAAAAGAAGAGAAACUAUACCUUUGCUCAAACCAGGAAAAUCCUCAUCCCUAUAGGUUGGUCCUCUAUUCAUGUCUUGAUCUAUUGCAUGAUGCUUGGGUUUAAUUGUGUGUUUGAUGUGUGUUAGUCCCUGAACUAAGUAAUAACCUGUUUCAAAUGAAAAAAAACAUAACCAAAAUAAGUUUUUAAAUCAAUCCGUGUCCUGUUUCAACAUCAAGAAAAAUACCCCAUCCAUAACUAAAAUCUGUUUCAAAUUAAUCAAUAACUAAAAUCUGUUUCGAAUCAUAAACAUACUCUUCUUCAACUCAAAACCAUACCUUGUUUAAAAUUCAAACCACACCCAGUUUCAAUUUAAAUUAACACCCCUGUAAAAAAAAAUCUUUUUCAAAACACAAAUCAAGUUUAACACUAAUUUUUGUAGAACCAAUACACAAUUUCACAUCCAAAUAUUACCCCGGUAGAAAAAAUUUCAAAACCGAAUUGAAACUAAUAGUAUCCUUUCAACUAAAAAGAACUAUACUCUAUUUCAAUCAAAAACCAAUUUAGAGUCAAAAUAAUCCCCCCCCCCCCNCCCCCCCCCCGAGCCAAAUCAAAAAACGAAACAGAACUGAAUAAAAAAAACAAAAUCAAAACUGACACGAGCUUCACAAUUGCAUCGUCGGCUUCCGUAGAUACCUCAUCCACAUCUGCACACCCCUAUCCCUCAUGAGUCUGCCGACCCUCCAUCAUGCUACCAUGAUUGCGCCGCUUCGUCACGAUUACGCCGACCAUCGCUCUGCCGUGAACACCACCCUUUCUAGCCUCUUUCAAUUUUGUGAGUGCUCGCCUUGUGGAUUUGAGCUCAUUGUUGUUUGGAUUUGUGUUGUUGAGAUUGAUCCAAGUGAAGUGUUAUAUUCAUUUUUGUAAGUGCAACUUUCCGAUAGAUGUAUUUUGUAUGAUGUCAAAACUAGGAUACUUUAGCAUUUAUGUAUAUUGGAUGUAUCCUCUAAGUCUAAAUGUGCAUCUUAGUAUCAGGAAACAUAACAACAUGUUAGAAAAGGUUUAAGAAAGGUUUCGUGCAUCAAAAACUGGUUUUUAUGUGAAAAACAGUCUAUGUGUCGACACAUCGUGCUAUAGGUCGACAAAUAGAAGAUUUUUUUUCUACAGGUCGACAUAUACGAGCUUCAGGUCGACACAUGUAACUCAUAUUUAAAGCCUACAACUUCUUUUUUGUGUGCCGCCUCUACAUGUCGACAUAUGCAUCGUAUGUGCCGACACAUGACUUACAUGGUGUCUUAUAACAAAAAUAAAAAUCCUUUUGACAAUCACCUUAAUAAAAAUAACAUAAAUAAAAAUAUCAUUUAAUGAAUAAUUUACAUUUUCUUCAGAUGCAAAUGUAACUUUAUAUUCAUCCAUGGUGUCUUUUAUAUUAAAAAAGUAUAAAAAACACUUGAGAAAAAUAGAGAUAUUAGAAGGAAAAAAAAUCACAAAAUAGUAAAAAUUUAGCAAGAUCAAUAACACACAAAUUCUGUCAUCAUCCUUUUGGUUACUUCUAUGACCAAUAAACUUAAAAAACUUUAGAGAGGUUCAAGAAAAAUAAUAUAAGAAUUAGAGUAAAUAUUUUAAUGUCAUAAAAUUCUCAGUAUAAAAAAUAUCAGUAACAUUAAAACCAAAACUUAAAUUCAAAACCCUAUUCAAGUCAAAUAAUAACACACAACUCAUUAUAAACUUCAUUCUCUUCCUAAAUACAUAUAGAAUUUCAUUAUAUAACAAAAAGAAAAACAUAAGAAGAAAAUGUUACCUUUUGGAAAUGUUAAUUUUUGGGUAUGCCUUCGUUCGAUCUGGGUAGAUCUAUAACCUGCAAAUAUAAAAGAAGUGGAAAAAGAUAUUAAAAAUAAGGCGAUGUUGAUUCAACAGAUCUGGAAGUGGAUAUGGAAAAUGAUGCAAAUCCGAGCAUUUUGAUUUCCGUUGAAGAGAGAAGGAUGUGAAAUGAUGCAGAUCUGAAAAAAAUGAAAGAACCUGAGGAAAAGUUUAAAUUUUUAAUAAAAUAUGAAAGAUUAGAGAGAUGGAGAAAUUAUGACACUUGGAUUCUUGGCAUUUAUUCUUGCAGUUGAAUCAACAAAUUUGGAAGCAGAUUUUUUUGAAGAAGUCAAAUCUGAAAGAUGAAGUGAGUGUUUUCACGACUUCUAAUGUUGUGAGAAAGAGAGAGGCAUGUUUGAGUGAUGAUAGGGGGAUGAAGCAUAAUAUCUGAGACAAAAGUGUUGUUUGUGUUAUGGUGAAUCAAAAUCUCCUUUUUAAUAGGGGAGAAAGGGUGAUGGCGGCGACUACAGAGGUUUUAAGGUUUGAGGGGGAAAAUGAGAAAAGAAAGAAGACGAAAGAGAGAGAAAAUUGUAAUGUGUGAGAAAUGAUUAAACACAAUGUAUCAGAGGCUUAUGUAUUUGUUUUGGAAUGUAAAGAGUUUUACUGGGAAGAAGAUGAAAAUAAAUAGAGUGUGAAAAGAAGAAAAAAAGGUGUUGUCUUAAGAUACGAAUGGGGUG